CACACACACACACACACGCGCAGCCACAACGACAACGACAACGACGACGACGACGACAACGACAACAACACCUCCUUACCCACGACCACAACAAUGCUCCCUACGCCCGCCGAACCCUCUUCCCUCUCUCACUCACUCACUCCCUGCCUGCCUCGCACCGCAUUCCGGCGCGACGCCGACACCUGGCGGUCGCGCCCGAAACUGACACUCGCCGCCGACCCGGACCCCGGAACACCCUCUUGCAGCCCCUUGCCGCCCCUUGCCGCCGCUUGCCCCCCGGACCCGCGGACCACCGGACCACCGGACCGCGAGCCCACCCUUGUGUGGGUGUAUCCUGAAGAAGCACGGCGCCAGGGCCUUUGGCCCCAGGAUGCCUUCUUACUACCGACCUGCCUUCUCACGCCUCUCCUUGCUAGCUAGAGCCCUCAGAGUCCUGACAGGCCGCUGUCCUUGGGCAUGCAUGCCAAGACGCUGGCUGCCUACAGCCUUCUGGGAUUUCCCUCCUGGCUGAUGGCCGCUCCGUUGGGACAGAGGCCUGCGGAUCAACAGGAAGAGGACCGUUCUUGAGACGAUGCUGUUGAGAUGAAUUCAUGAUCUGAGGCCAUUCCUGAUGUGAUCUAUGCGGUUUUAGGAAGUUACCUGGAUUUAAAGAAUGUGGGGGAAGUUAGGCUAGUUGACAGAAAGUCUAAAAAGUCCGGAUCGAGACCGGAACGUGCCCCUUCCUCAUAGAACAACAAACAGCAAGAGACGCAGAGUUGAGAGAAGGAGUCCAGUGAGCUCCCCUCGGGCCUUAAAAGCACAGACUCGUAGUAGCAACAAAAGUAGGCCUGGGACAAGUUCAUGCUCCGAGAGGACAUCCCUUCAAGGUUGGGCUCCGAUUCCUUCAUCUUGGGAUCUAGGCCCGUGGCCACAGGUGCCUGUCGGUGUGCACCGCCAAGAGACACCACACCGCUAGGAAAGAAGAGUUCAUCAAUCACUCUCUUGGGAGUGUUUGGGACAGAGGAGAGGUGAUUAUCCAGAUUACCUGAACGACAAGACUUUGAAACAAGAGAAAAAAAAAGAAAAGAAAGAAAUGGCACACGACAGAGGAUGAUGACCAGUCUCUUGCUAAAUACAAAUUGUCAAGCCUGGAUAACAAAACUGGAUAACUUAGGCUUGACUGGAUUAAACUUUGUUCAUCCGUGACAAGAGAAUUAUCGCCUUGGAGUUAAGUCGAACUGGUGGCGAGAAAGAAGGAUGGGAAAUGUUUGCUAAGGUGUGAGUGUCAAAACAAAAAUCUGUAAUCAAUAAGUCCGGUGUGAUUUCCUUUUCUGGAAUGACUUUAAUCUGGUUUUGGAAGGAUAUGUUUCUGUGCUGAUGGCUUUUAGAGAAUAUGUGACAUGUGUUUUCGAGGUGAUCUUUUUCUUACACAGAGAGAGCGCGGUCUUAGGUGGUAUGAUGGGGCUGGGGGCGGGGGGUGGGGGAAUAAGGUUCUCGGAGCCAGCUCCUUAGAGUUUGCUCUAUCCACCAAAUGCGGACAUGUGGAAAGGUGGAUAUGUGGACAUGGCUGAAACGGUUGGAGCCUGUUUAAUGAAGCGUGCUCCAUCCUCUGA
This 1592-nucleotide long non-coding RNA is filed under the name Rattus norvegicus (Norway rat). RNAcentral's name for it is "long non-coding RNA NONRATT020426". The record is from RNAcentral. Lineage: Eukaryota; Metazoa; Chordata; Mammalia; Rodentia; Muridae.